Molecule: transfer RNA, 83 nt
Filed under: Termitomyces sp. T159_Od127
Lineage: Eukaryota; Fungi; Basidiomycota; Agaricomycetes; Agaricales; Lyophyllaceae
Description: tRNA-Gln
Rfam family: tRNA
About the family: Transfer RNA (tRNA) molecules are approximately 80 nucleotides in length. Their secondary structure includes four short double-helical elements and three loops (D, anti-codon, and T loops).
Source: RNAcentral
GGCGCUGUAGUGUAGCGGUUAUCACUCGAGAUUCUGAUUAACAUGGAUUUCUCGAAACCCAGGUUCGAUUCCUGGCAGUGCCU